This 464-nucleotide ribosomal RNA is filed under the name uncultured bacterium. Its description in RNAcentral is "partial 16S ribosomal RNA". It matches the Rfam family "Bacterial small subunit ribosomal RNA", at positions 338 to 795 of the family's 1533-position model. The record is from RNAcentral.
CCUACGGGAGGCAGCAGUAGGGAAUUUUCGUCAAUGGGCGCAAGCCUGAACGAGCAAUGCCGCGUGAACGAGGAAGGUCUUCGGAUCGUAAAGUUCUGUUGAAGGGGAAAAAGAGCGGAGAGAGGAAAUGAACUCCGAUUGAUAUUACCCUUCGAGGAAGUCACGGCUAACUACGUGCCAGCAGCCGCGGUAAUACGUAGGUGGAGAGCGUUAUCCGGAAUGAUUGGGCGCAAGGGGUGCGUAGGCGGCCUGCUAGGUCUGGAGUGAAAGGUACCGGCUCAACCGGUACAGGCUCUGGAAACUGGCGGGCUAGAGAGCAGGAGAGGGCGGUGGAACUCCGUGUGUAGCGGUAAAAUGCGUAGAUAUAUGGAAGAACACCAGUGGCGAAGGCGGCCGCCUGGCCUGUUACUGACGCUGAGGCACGAAAGCGUGGGGAGCAAAUAGGAUUAGAUACCCGUGUAGUC